Molecule: long non-coding RNA, 929 nt
Filed under: Gorilla gorilla gorilla (western lowland gorilla)
Lineage: Eukaryota; Metazoa; Chordata; Mammalia; Primates; Hominidae
Description: lncRNA (ENSGGOG00000044650.1)
Source: RNAcentral
UGAGGAAGGUGCCUGCUUUCCCUUCACCUUCUGCCAUGAUUGCAAGUGUCCUGUAUCCUCCUGGCCAUGUGGAACUGUGAGUCAAUUAAAUCUUUUUUCUUUAUAAAUCACCCAGUCUCAGGUAUUCUUUAGAACAGUGUGACAUCGGACUAAAACACUAUUUCUCCCAGCCCGAAUGCUGGAGUGAGUGUAUAUGCAACUGAUAUCCCCAGUAACUGGGGGCUCCCUUUGGCUGCUAAGUGAAUGGCAGGGAGGCUUGAGGCUGCGCUGUUCACUUUAGGAAACAGCGAGGUGUCUGAGCUAGGGAAUCCUAAAAAGGAUUACUGUCACAAAUUGAACUGAAAUUUAAGAAACACACAAACUGAAACAAGACCUUUUAAUUUGUAGCCCCAAACAGGCAAACUGCUCUGUUGAAACAAUUAAGCAGCUGUGAUGAGGAGGGGCAGCAAUACACAGCAGCUGCCCGGAUUUCCAAGGAGGUUACAGAGAGUUCACGGACUUAGAACCACUCUAGCUCACCUGGCUCCACGUGGCGACUCCAGGCUCUGCACCCUUCCGGCCGCUAAGACAAGGCCUCAGACACGGGGUUCUGCCCUGUUUACUGUCAGCAGAGCCAAGCUGAGAAGGAUGGGCACGAGAAAAGGCUAGACCUAGCAUCACUGGACAUGCUAUUUCUUACUGUGUGCCAGUAUUUCAGACCAGAAUGAUAGAUGCCUCCUUCACCCCUCUCUGGACUAAUGGGCGAUAAAGAUUUUGUAAUGAGACAUGGAGAGAUUGUUCUGUUUCCUACCUACUGCAUCUGGUGUUUGCUUAGUUGACUGUCUUUUUUUCUCCAGGCAGUAAGUUACUUGAGGACACGGACUUUGUUGUAUCAAUCUUUUAAAUAUUACCACUAGCACAGAACCACUGAGAACAUAUUUAUUUCUAAA